UUAAGCGACCAAGCGUACACGGUGGAUGCCCUGGCAGUCAGAGGCGAUGAAGGACGUGCUAAUCUGCGAAAAGCGCCGGUAAGGUGAUAUGAACCGUUAUAACCGGCGAUGUCCGAAUGGGGAAACCCAGUGUGACUCGUCACACUAUCAUUAACUGAAUCCAUAGGUUAAUGAGGCGAACCGGGGGAACUGAAACAUCUAAGUACCCCGAGGAAAAGAAAUCAACCGAGAUUUCCCCCAGUAGCGGCGAGCGAACGGGGAGGAGCCCAGAGCCUGAAUCAGCAUGUGUGUUAGUGGAAGCGUCUGGAAAGGCGCGCGAUACAGGGUGAGAGCCCCGUACACAAAAGCGCAUGUGCUGUGAGCUCGAUGAGUAGGGCGGGACACGUGGUAUCCUGUCUGAAUAUGGGGGGGACCAUCCUCCAAGGCUAAAUACUCCUGACUGACCGAUAGUGAACCAGUACCGUGAGGGAAAGGCGAAAAGAACCCCGGCGAGGGGAGUGAAACAGAACCUGAAACCGUGUACGUACAAGCAGUGGGAGCCCCACCACUAAGCCAGUGGUGAACUCCACAUACGCAUCCUUUGCGGAAGAUACGGUUAACGGAGCGAAAGCGACGUUCAACCUAAAAAGAAGCAGAGGGGGCUUAGUGGUGGGGUGACUGCGUACCUUUUGUAUAAUGGGUCAGCGACUUAUAUUCUGUAGCAAGGUUAACCGAAUAGGGGAGCCGGAGGGAAACCGAGUCUUAAUUGGGCGUUAAGUUGCAGGGUAUAGACCCGAAACCCGGUGAUCUAGCCAUGGGCAGGUUGAAGGUUGGGUAACACUAACUGGAGGACCGAACCGACUAAUGUUGAAAAAUUAGCGGAUGACCUGUGGCUGGGGGGUGAAAGGCCAAUCAAACCGGGAGAUAGCUGGUUCUCCCCGAAAAGCUAUUUAGGUAGCGCCUCGUGAAUUCAUCUCCGGGGGUAGAGCACUGUUUCGGCCAGGGGGCCAUCCCGGCUUACCAACCCGAUGCAAACUGCGAAUACCGGAGAAUGUUAUCACGGGAGACACACGGCGGGUGCUAACGUCCGUCGUGAAGAGGGAAACAACCCAGACCGCCAGCUAAGGUCCCAAAGUCAUGGUUAAGUGGGAAACGAUGUGGGAAGGCCCAGACAGCCAGGAUGUUGGCUUAGAAGCAGCCAUCAUUUAAAGAAAGCGUAAUAGCUCACUGGUCGAGUCGGCCUGCGCGGAAGAUGUAACGGGGCUAAACCAUGCACCGAAGCUGCGGCAGCGACACUAAGUGUCGUUGGGUAGGGGAGCGUUCUGUAAGCCUGCGAAGGUGGCCUGUGAGGGUUGCUGGAGGUAUCAGAAGUGCGAAUGCUGACAUAAGUAACGAUAAUGCGGGUGAAAAACCCGCACGCCGGAAGACCAAGGGUUCCUGUCCAACGUUAAUCGGGGCAGGGUGAGUCGACCCCUAAGGCGAGGCCGAAAGGCGUAGUCGAUGGGAAACAGGUUAAUAUUCCUGUACCUGGUGUUACUGCGAAGGGGGGGACGGAGAAGGCUAUGUUGGCCGGGCGACGGUUGUCCCGGUUUAAGCGUGCAGGUGUGUGUUCCAGGAAAAUCCGGUUCACUUUAACACUGAGGCGUGACGACGAGGCACUACGGUGCUGAAGCAACAAAUGCCCUGCUUCCAGGAAAAGCCUCUAAGCCUCAGGUAACAUCAGAUCGUACCCGAAACCGACACAGGUGGUCAGGUAGAGAAUACCAAGGCGCUUGAGAGAACCCGGGUGAAGGAACUAGGCAAAAUGGUGCCGUAACUUCGGGAGAAGGCACGCUGACACGUAGGUGAAGCGGUUUACCCGUGGAGCUGAAGUCAGUCGAAGAUACCAGCUGGCUGCAACUGUUUAUUAAAAACACAGCACUGUGCAAACACGAAAGUGGACGUAUACGGUGUGACGCCUGCCCGGUGCCGGAAGGUUAAUUGAUGGGGUCAGCGCAAGCGAAGCUCCUGAUCGAAGCCCCGGUAAACGGCGGCCGUAACUAUAACGGUCCUAAGGUAGCGAAAUUCCUUGUCGGGUAAGUUCCGACCUGCACGAAUGGCGUAAUGAUGGCCAGGCUGUCUCCACCCGGGACUCAGUGAAAUUGAACUCGCUGUGAAGAUGCAGUGUACCCGCGGCAAGACGGAAAGACCCCGUGAACCUUUACUAUAGCUUGACACUGAACACUGGUCCUUGAUGUGCAGGAUAGGUGGGAGGCUUUGAAGUGUGGACGCCAGUCUGCAUGGAGCCGUCCUUGAAAUACCACCCUUUAAUGGCUGGUGUUCUAACGUAGACCCGUGAACCGGGUUGCGGACAGUGUCUGGUGGGUAGUUUGACUGGGGCGGUCUCCUCCUAAAGCGUAACGGAGGAGCACGAAGGUUGGCUAAUCCUGGUCGGACAUCAGGAGGUUAGUGCAAUGGCAUAAGCCAGCUUGACUGCGAGCGUGACGGCGCGAGCAGGUGCGAAAGCAGGUCAUAGUGAUCCGGUGGUUCUGAAUGGAAGGGCCAUCGCUCAACGGAUAAAAGGUACUCCGGGGAUAACAGGCUGAUACCGCCCAAGAGUUCAUAUCGACGGCGGUGUUUGGCACCUCGAUGUCGGCUCAUCACAUCCUGGGGCUGAAGUAGGUCCCAAGGGUAUGGCUGUUCGCCAUUUAAAGUGGUACGCGAGCUGGGUUUAGAACGUCGUGAGACAGUUCGGUCCCUAUCUGCCGUGGGCGCUGGAGAACUGAGGGGGGCUGCUCCUAGUACGAGAGGACCGGAGUGGACGCAUCACUGGUGUUCGGGUUGUCAUGCCAAUGGCACUGCCCGGUAGCUAAAUGCGGAAGAGAUAAGUGCUGAAAGCAUCUAAGCACGAAACUUGCCCCGAGAUGAGUUCUCCCUGAGACUACAAGUCUCCUGAAGGAACGUUGAAGACGACGACGUUGAUAGGCCGGGUGUGUAAGCGCAGCGAUGCGUUGAGCUAACCGGUACUAAUGAACCGUGAGGCUUAACCUU
Molecule: ribosomal RNA, 3009 nt
Filed under: Salmonella enterica subsp. arizonae
Lineage: Bacteria; Pseudomonadati; Pseudomonadota; Gammaproteobacteria; Enterobacterales; Enterobacteriaceae
Description: bacterial LSU rRNA
Rfam family: Bacterial large subunit ribosomal RNA
Source: RNAcentral